This 24-nucleotide non-coding RNA is filed under the name Cricetulus griseus (Chinese hamster). Lineage: Eukaryota; Metazoa; Chordata; Mammalia; Rodentia; Cricetidae. The record is from RNAcentral.
UCUGUCUCUUAAAUAAAUGAAUUC